CCAUUCAUGCCUGCUUCCUUGUCUUGCUUCCUUCUCAUUGCGUCUCCUGUCACCCCACUUUUUCCAUCCCUAGCCAUUAGUUUCCUGAUUAGUCUGCACUUUCUGCUCCAUUUACCGGUAAGUGACCGUCUCUCAAAUACUCUCAACUCCAGCUUUGCCAUGUGCCCAGUUUUCUUGCCUAACUGGUCAGCAGGCCAUCUGGAACUGGGAAGAAUAUACUGUUAGAAGCUGUGGGGUAGAAUGAGGUCACUCAGCAGGUGAUGGAAAGGAAAAUAGCCACAGGGCUCCCGAUAAAGCCAAAAAGGGGAAGAAGACUGAUAUAACCAGACUGAGCUUCCAGCUAAAGAGGAAGGCGAUGAGCACGGCCACAAAGAUGUUAGUGAAGGAAUUGACCAUCAUCCCAACUUGAGAGCCAGUAGCCUGCAAAUCAAAAGCAAGGUCCCACCCAGACCCUCUCCCUGAUGGAAUGGCAGCUGGAGAGGUCAGUAAAGCCUGAUCUUGUCCUCCAUCCCAGACCAAUAACAGAAGGAUGGCCAGUAAACAAGCCAUAGACUCAUAUUUGUUGAAUGCUGAAGGAAUGACCAUCCAGAGACUGUCCCACCUGGGAUCCAUUCCAUAUACAAUCACCAAACCCAGACAGUAUUGUGGAUGCCAAUAAGUGCUUGCUGACAGAAGCCUGAUAUAGCUGUCUCCUGAGAGGUCCUGCCAGUGCCUGGCAAAUACAGAAGUGGAUGCUCACAGCCAUCCAUUGGACUGAGCACAGAGUCUCCAAUGAAAGGAGCUAGAGAAAGGACCGAAGGAGCUGAAGGGGUUUGCAUAGGAGGAACAACAAUAUGAACUAACCAGCACUCUCAGAGCUCCCAGGGACUAAACCACCAACCGACCAUGAGUGCACAUGGUGGGACUCAUGGCUCCAGAUGCAUAUAUGUAGCAGAGGAUUGCCUUGUUGGUCAUCAAUGGGAGGAGAGGCCCUUGGUCUUGUGAAGGCUCUAUGCCCCAGUGUAGGGGAAUGCCAAGGCCAGGAAGGGGGAGUGGGUGGGUUGGUGAGCAGAGGGAGGGGGAAAGGAAAGGGGGUUAUCAGAGGGGAAACCAGUAAAAGGGAUAACAUUUGAAAUGUAAAUAAGAAAAUAUCUAAUAAAAAAAGAUGAUGUUAAUGGCUGAUAUUUGCAUAUGACACUUUAUGCAAAAUAAAUGUUAAUAAAACAUGAAAAGAUAAAAAUUAAAAAAUAAAUGGCUAGAGAUGUUUCUACCCA
RNAcentral lists this long non-coding RNA (1253 nucleotides) under Mus caroli (Ryukyu mouse). Its description in RNAcentral is "predicted gene 13613 (MGP_CAROLIEiJ_G0003196.1)". Lineage: Eukaryota; Metazoa; Chordata; Mammalia; Rodentia; Muridae. The record is from RNAcentral.